ACACCUCCCUCUUUCCCCCCACACACACCUGUGAACUUGUGAGACAGUUGGGGAAUUUAUUUGUUAUUUUUUGUAAUAAAAUGAUAAUAAAUCAUUGAACCCUUCUGUCUACUCAACUCAUAUAAAAUCAAUUUAUUUUAAAUGAAUGUAAUGGAUGUAACACAUCUCAUACUAAGUUUCAACAACGGAUCUCUUGGCUCUCGCAUCGAUGAAGAACGCAGCGAAAUGCGAUAAGUAAUGUGAAUUGCAGAAUUC
Molecule: ribosomal RNA, 255 nt
Filed under: Rhizoctonia solani
Lineage: Eukaryota; Fungi; Basidiomycota; Agaricomycetes; Cantharellales; Ceratobasidiaceae
Description: 5.8S ribosomal RNA
Rfam family: 5.8S ribosomal RNA (bases 174-255)
Source: RNAcentral